AAAAGUUUAGUUAAGUAAUAACAUUAAUUUGUCAAAUUAAAAUCAUCAGAAAUGUUAUCUUUUA
This 64-nucleotide transfer RNA is filed under the name Tenebrionoidea sp. 15 KM-2017. RNAcentral's name for it is "tRNA-Asp". Lineage: Eukaryota; Metazoa; Arthropoda; Insecta; Coleoptera. The record is from RNAcentral.